AUACUCCCAAGAGACCGAUAGUGGACCAGUACUGUGAAGGAAAGGUGAAAAGAACCCCGAGCAGGGGAGUGAAAUAGUUCCUGAAACCAUACGCCUACAAGCGGUCGGAGCAUCUUACGAUGUGACGGCGUGCCUUUUGCAUAAUGAUCCUACGAGUUACCGUCACUGGCGAGGUUGAGUGUCACGAGACACGUAGCCGCAGUGAAAGCGAGCCUGAAUAGGGCGCAUAGUCAGUGGGGGUAGACGCGAAACCAAGUGAUCUACACUUGGCCAGGAUGAAGUCCCGGUAACACGGGAUGGAGGUCCGCACCAAUAAGCGUUGAAAAGCUUCUGGAUGAGCCGAGUGUAGGAGUGAAAGGCCAAUCAAACUUGGAGAUAGCUCGUACUCCCCGAAAGGCAUUUAGGUGCCGCGUCGGAUGGUCACCGUGAGAGGUAGAGCGACCGAUAGGACAAGAGGGCUUCACCGCCUAUCGAGUCCUGACGAACUCCGAAUGCUCACGGUCUGCAGUCCGGCAGUAAGGGGGCGGGUGCUAAGGUCCGUCCCCGAGAGGAGAAGAAUCCAGACCGCCGUCUAAGGUCCCGGAGUUCUGCCUGAGUUAGUCUAACGAAGUCUGGUCCCUAUGACAGCUAGGAUGUUGGCUUGGAAGCAGCCAUUCAUUCAAAGAGUGCGUAACAGCUCACUAGUCGAGGGUCCGGGCAUGGAUAAUAAUCGGGUAUAAGGCAGACACCGAAGGCGCGGGAUAGCAUUUAAGAAAGUAUCGGUAGGGGAGCAUACUCACAGCGUCGAAUGGUGUACGUAAGUUAUCCUGGAGCGGUGAGUAAAGCAAAUGUAGGAAUAAGUAACGAUAAGGAGGGUUAGAUUCCCUCCCGCUGUAAGACCAAGGUUUCCCGGGCAAUGCCAAUCAGCCCGGGGUCAGUCGGGUCCUAAGUCUAAGCCGAACGGCGAUGGCGAUGGCAGAGACGGUUAAUAUUCCGUCACUGCCGCAUGGGGCGACGUGGAGACGGAGCAGUGAAACCACCGCGGGGCGACGGAAGUCCCCGUUGAAGAGUGUAGGUGUUGAGGAUGGCAGGCAAAUCCACCGUCCGAGCUGAACUUGAUAGUAUGGAGUCUUCUUCGGAAGAAUCCAAUAGUGUGGGUAAUCAUACUCCCGAGAAAAUCCGCUAAGCUUAACCCAUGCGGCACCCGUACCGCAAACGGACACACGUGGUCGGGUAGAACAUACUAAGGCGUUGAGAGAUUCAUGGUUAAGGAACUAGGCAAAUUGACCCUGUAACUUCGGGAUAAAGGGUCCUCGUGAUGAGCGAGGCGCAGAGAAUAGGUCCAGGCAACUGUUUAACAAAAACACAGGGCUGUGCAAACUCGAAAGAUGACGUAUACAGCCUGACACCUGCCCGGUGCCGGAAGGUUAAGAGGAGAUGUCACACUUAUGUGGAAGCAUUGAAUUGAAGCCCCGGUAAACGGCGGCCGUAACUAUAACGGUCCUAAGGUAGCGAAAUUCCUUGUCGGGUAAGUUC
This 1515-nucleotide ribosomal RNA is filed under the name human gut metagenome. Its description in RNAcentral is "bacterial LSU rRNA". It matches the Rfam family "Bacterial large subunit ribosomal RNA", at positions 470 to 1983 of the family's 2925-position model. The record is from RNAcentral.